Long non-coding RNA from Galeopterus variegatus (Sunda flying lemur), 471 nucleotides. RefSeq lists it as uncharacterized. Lineage: Eukaryota; Metazoa; Chordata; Mammalia; Dermoptera; Cynocephalidae. The record is from RefSeq and is a predicted model, not a curated record. The transcript is spliced from 3 exons.
UCAGGUGUGCUGGAAGAUGGACUGUCCUCCAAUGGUGUACCCCAAUCUACAGCCCCAGGUGGAAUAUCCAACCCAGAGAAGAAGAUGAGCUCUGGGACCCAGUGCCCAAAUCCCCAGAGCCUCAGCUCAGGCCCUCUGACGCAGAAACAGAAUGGCCUUCGGACUGCAGAGGCUAAAAGAGAUGCUAAGCGAAUGUCUGCAAAAGAGGUCACCAUUAACGUUACAGACAGCAUCCGACAGAUGGACAGAAGUCGAAGAAUCACAAAGAACUUCAUCAACUAGUGGAGUGUUCAAAUAGAAAGGCUUCUUUGGAGCCCUUCGUGGUACUGGAACCUUGAAGUGGGCACCCCAUGCUGAAUGUGAACACUGCCGAGUGCCUUGAGAGACAGUCUUACCCAGCAGCAAACAGCUCCCGGAGCUGUUGGGACCUUCUCAGCCUCCCACUUACCACGCAGGUGUAUUGGUGCAGUG